GAAAAUGAUGAUAAUUGUUGUCGCCCCAGUCUUACUUGCACUUUGAGAUGCAAGGUGGUGAUUGACUUUUGUUUGUCUGAUUC
Non-coding RNA from Populus trichocarpa (black cottonwood), 83 nucleotides. The record is from Rfam. NCBI's taxonomy places the organism in Eukaryota, Viridiplantae, Streptophyta, Magnoliopsida, Malpighiales, Salicaceae.